Non-coding RNA from Nicotiana attenuata, 72 nucleotides. The record is from Rfam. Lineage: Eukaryota; Viridiplantae; Streptophyta; Magnoliopsida; Solanales; Solanaceae.
UCCGUUAUCGUCCAGCGGUUAGGAUAUCUGGCUUUCACCCAGGAGACCCGUGUUCGAUUCCCGGUAACGGAA